UCUCGCGCGCUCGGUCAUGUGCUCCUCGCCUUGGUGCUCGCUGCCGCCGCGAUCAUCUGCACUAGCAGCGCGCUCUAUCCUUCUGGAUCUGCAGGCCCACAGCAGGGUAGGUACGCUCACAUGAGCUGCAACAACUGCUAGCACCGCAGUUGAUCAAGCUACGCCCUGAUUACUUACCUCCUCGCUGCCGUUCGUGCGGCGCACUGAGGGUUCGCACUCUGGGCAAUGACGGCUACACGCUCUCCUCCUCGAACAAGAGCAGCAGUAGCACUACCUCCAUUGUGGCCAAGGGUACGCGCACGUCGAGCACGCAGACGGAGUGCAAGGCGAUGCACUGCACGGGCUGCAUCGCCAGUCUAUGCGCGACGUGUGAGGAUGGUUCCUACAUCGUCGAUGGUACUCGCACCCCAUGCAAGACCGAGAACUGCGCGUACUGCAAGUGUACCGGACAUUGCCUCACAUGUGAGCAGGGGUGCAGAGUCAGCCAACCGACCAACAUGAACUGCGGCAUCCAUCUCAGUAAGAACGGCGAGCGUGUUAGCGGAUUCAGCUUCAGGAGACCGGCAGCACUGGCGCCGCCGCUCUUGUGCUUGCUGUCGCUGCUGGUUUGCGACGCGCCCGUCAUUCAGCUUCAAGGGAAGCCUCACCGUAGAGCUUUUUUUUGGCUUUCUUGUGAGUGCUCAGAAGGCGUUCUGGCGUAUCCUCCUCAACCCGACAUGCCUCCUCGACUACGCCUAUGCAUGCGUGUGCGUCGCGGGUGCACAUCUCAUUCUCUUUGCGAAUCCCGCGUUGCGUCUCCUCCCAACCCGUAACUGCAGGGGGAGGGCUUGUCUUUGUCGAUCUGUUCUUACUCGUGAACGCAUGCAGGCGCGCUCAAUUACCUGCGGGCGACUAAAUUGCGACUGAAGCGAUUCUGCCUCGCCUCUCUCGCGCUCUCUCACGCGAUUCGCGCCUCUUCCACCCCCUCCCAGAGUGCACAUUUGCACACGCACUCAUGCGCCGCGCCCGCCGCCGUCUUUCUGACGAGAGGUGUUGGAGAGCGAGGUAGCGCUGCUGCUCUGCCUUCUUAUUCUCAAAAGGGCAGUCGACCAUCGAAACAAUGGCCGACAGCCAUCAAUACACGGGGCGCUAGCGAACCUCAAUGCUUCCCAACAUAGUCCGUGGAGCGGCUCAUCUUCUGCACCCUCGAGGCGAGCAGCUCACCGGUGCGGCGUUGUGUCGCGACAAGCCUACGGCGCUGCACGUACAGGGGGGCAGAGGCGCUUUUCUCGUCUUUAUUUUUCUGUCUUCAAGCCCGCCGCCACGGAGCCUUGUGCCUCUCUUCUGCUUGGUGUUGGUGUCGCCGUUGAUGGAAACGCCAAAACGAUGCGCACACCACUUGACCAGCAUGACUCAUGUGCUUAGCUUAUCCGUUUCACUGCCAUGUGUGUGCCUGGUGACUCAGAGGAGAGCAUAGGGGCGAGUGAGCUUACGCUCAUGGCCACACACCUUGCCGCACAAGCACGGACUUCAUUGCGGCUUCCACGGCGUCACGGAGUGCGUCUCCGGCGUCACCUCACGCGCUCUCGUUUCUUUUCUGUUUGUGCUGUUCUGCCUUUGGUGUGUGUGCGCGGGUCUCUUUACUUCCGCAAAGUGGGCGUGUUGGACACCUGCAACAUCUGCCUGCUCGCCAGACCAGCAAGCCUGGCUCCCGAAAGAAUAGCCACAGGCGUCACGAG
This 1718-nucleotide unclassified non-coding RNA is filed under the name Leishmania donovani. RNAcentral's name for it is "gene:unknown". Lineage: Eukaryota; Euglenozoa; Kinetoplastea; Trypanosomatida; Trypanosomatidae. The record is from RNAcentral.